This 471-nucleotide ribosomal RNA is filed under the name uncultured bacterium. Its description in RNAcentral is "partial 16S ribosomal RNA". It matches the Rfam family "Bacterial small subunit ribosomal RNA", at positions 28 to 507 of the family's 1533-position model. The record is from RNAcentral.
GACGAACGCUGGCGGCGUGCUUAACACAUGCAAGUCGAACGAUGAAGCCUAGCUUGCUAGGUGGAUUAGUGGCGAACGGGUGAGUAAUACGUGAGUGACCUACCUUUGACUCUGGGAUAAGCCUGGGAAACUGGGUCUAAUACCGGAUACGACCAAUCUCCGCAUGGGGUGUUGGUGGAAAGCGUUAUGGAGUGGUUUUAGAUGGGCUCACGGCCUAUCAGCUUGUUGGUGAGGUAAUGGCUUACCAAGGCGACGACGGGUAGCCGGCCUGAGAGGGUGAACGACCACACUGGGACUGAGACACGGCCCAGACUCCUACGGGAGGCAGCAGUGGGGAAUAUUGCACAAUGGGCGCAAGCCUGAUGCAGCGACGCCGCGUGAGGGAUGACGGCCUUCGGGUUGUAAACCUCUGUUAGCAUCGAAGAAGCGAAAGUGACGGUAGGUGCAGAGAAAGCGCCGGCUAACUACGUG